GCCUGGGUGGCUCAGUGGCUUAAGCGCCUGACUUCAGCUCAGGUCAUGAUCUCGUGGUUCGUGAGUUCGAGCCCCACCUCGGGCU
RNAcentral lists this transfer RNA (85 nucleotides) under Felis catus (domestic cat). It matches the Rfam family "tRNA". From Rfam's summary of the family: Transfer RNA (tRNA) molecules are approximately 80 nucleotides in length. Lineage: Eukaryota; Metazoa; Chordata; Mammalia; Carnivora; Felidae. The record is from Rfam by way of RNAcentral.